CCUACGGGUGGCAGCAGUGAGGAAUAUUGGUCAAUGGGCGUAAGCCUGAACCAGCCAAGUCGCGUGAGGGAUGAAGGUUCUAUGGAUCGUCAACCUCUUUUAUAAGGGAAUAAAGUGUGGGACGUGUCCUAUUUUGUAUGUACCUUAUGACUAAGGAUCGGCUAACUCCGUGCCAGCAGCCGCGGUAAUACGGAGGAUCCGAACGUUAUCCGGAUUUGUUGGGUUUAAAGGGUGCGUAGGCGGCCCUUUAAGUCAGCGGUGAAAGUCUGUGGCUCAACCAUAGAAUUGCCGUUGAAACUGGGGGUCUUGAGUAUGUUUGAGGCAGGCGGAAUGCGUGGUGUAGCGUGGAAAUGCUUAGAUAUCACGCAGAACCCCGAUUGCGAAGGCAGCCUGCCAAGCCAUGACUGACGCUGAUGCACGAAAGCGUGGGGAUCAAACAGGAUUAGAUACCCUGGUAGGC
Molecule: ribosomal RNA, 460 nt
Filed under: uncultured bacterium
Lineage: Bacteria
Description: partial 16S ribosomal RNA
Rfam family: Bacterial small subunit ribosomal RNA
Source: RNAcentral